CGUACACUCCUGCGGGAGGCAGCAGUGGGGAAUAUUGGACAAUGGGCGCAAGCCUGAUCCAGCCAUGCCGCGUGAGUGAUGAAGGCCCUAGGGUUGUAAAGCUCUUUCACCGGUGAAGAUAAUGACGGUAACCGGAGAAGAAGCCUCGGCUAACUUCGUGCCAGCAGCCGCGGUAAUACGAAGGGGGCUAGCGUUGUUCGGAUUUACUGGGCGUAAAGCGAACGUAGGCGGACUAUUAAGUCAGGGGUGAAAUCCCGGGGCUCAACCCCGGAACUGCCUUUGAUACUGGUAGUCUUGAGUUCGAGAGAGGUGAGUGGAAUUCCGAGUGUAGAGGUGAAAUUCGUAGAUAUUCGGAGGAACACCAGUGGCGAAGGCGGCUCACUGGCUCGAUACUGACGCUGAGGUGCGAAAGCGUGGGGAGCAAACAGGAUUAGAAACCCGUGUAGUCCCAUG
Molecule: ribosomal RNA, 453 nt
Filed under: uncultured organism
Description: partial 16S ribosomal RNA
Rfam family: Bacterial small subunit ribosomal RNA
Source: RNAcentral